Long non-coding RNA from Oreochromis aureus, 530 nucleotides. RefSeq lists it as uncharacterized. The record is from RefSeq and is a predicted model, not a curated record. Lineage: Eukaryota; Metazoa; Chordata; Actinopteri; Cichliformes; Cichlidae. The transcript has 4 exons.
CGCCUUCCAAGCAUCAGAUCACCAUCAUGCAUUAGCUGGGUCUUUCACACCCUGAAAGUAAAUGAGACAAGCUGCAUGUGGUCCGUGCUGAACUGUCGGUCGUUUUGAAAAAAGGGAAUUUGGCACAUCUGGAACAUGUCUACUUGCUGUGGAGAUGAUGACUUGUUCCAGAAGAUGUGCCACAUGGAGAAGGUCUUCAACUGUAAUGAUGCUGCCCACCCUCCUGGAAAGACAAUGACAUCCUGGCAUCUGUGAAGACUAAUGGACAUUGCAAAAAUUCUGCAAUAUCUUCUCAUCAUCUGCUUCAGCAGCAGUCUGGAAGAAUCACACCCAUCAGAUUGACAUGUGAUAGCUACACGUUUGCUGACUGGUUUUUCCUCAUGUCUGCAGGUUCCAUCAACCCCCCUCCAUACUCUCCCCGGGGGGGGGACAGCACAACGGAGCCUGCCCCACCCCUCACCCCACCCCACCCCAAGUGGCAAAUGUGUGGGAUGAGGCAUGAAGGUAUUCCACCGUCACUUUCAUUGUCC